UCAACAGCUGCUAAGCUCAUUUGAUGAACAA
Molecule: small RNA, 31 nt
Filed under: Staphylococcus aureus
Lineage: Bacteria; Bacillati; Bacillota; Bacilli; Caryophanales; Staphylococcaceae
Description: HMPRFS0000_0148
Source: RNAcentral